UCCCGCCUGGCACAAUUGGCUAGCGCGUGAGACUUUUACGUACCAAAGUACUAUCUCAAGGUUGAGAGUUCGAACCUCUCGGUGGGAG
Molecule: transfer RNA, 88 nt
Filed under: Rachicladosporium sp. CCFEE 5018
Lineage: Eukaryota; Fungi; Ascomycota; Dothideomycetes; Cladosporiales; Cladosporiaceae
Description: tRNA-Lys
Rfam family: tRNA
About the family: Transfer RNA (tRNA) molecules are approximately 80 nucleotides in length. Their secondary structure includes four short double-helical elements and three loops (D, anti-codon, and T loops).
Source: RNAcentral